RNAcentral lists this ribosomal RNA (253 nucleotides) under uncultured bacterium. RNAcentral's name for it is "partial 16S ribosomal RNA". It matches the Rfam family "Bacterial small subunit ribosomal RNA", at positions 524 to 776 of the family's 1533-position model. The record is from RNAcentral.
UACGAAGGGGGCUGGCGUUGCUCGGAAUCACUGGGCGUAAAGCGCACGUAGGCGGAUUGUUAAGUCAGGGGUGAAAUCCUGGAGCUCAACUCCAGAACUGCCUUUGAUACUGGCGAUCUCGAGUCCGGGAGAGGUGAGUGGAACUGCGAGUGUAGAGGUGAAAUUCGUAGAUAUUGGGAAGAACACCAGUGGCGAAGGCGGCUCACUGGCCCGUAACUGACGCUGAGGUGCGAAAGCGUGGGGAGCAAACAGG